RNAcentral lists this ribosomal RNA (250 nucleotides) under uncultured bacterium. Its description in RNAcentral is "partial 16S ribosomal RNA". It matches the Rfam family "Bacterial small subunit ribosomal RNA", at positions 524 to 773 of the family's 1533-position model. The record is from RNAcentral.
UACAGGGGGCGCAAGCGUUGCUCGGAAUCACUGGGCGUAAAGCGUACGCAGGCGGACCGAUAAGUCGGAUGUGAAAUCCCGAGGCUCAACCUCGGAACUGCAUUCGAAACUGCUGGUCUUGAGUACGGGAGAGGUGAGCGGAAUUCCUGGUGUAGAGGUGAAAUUCGUAGAUAUCAGGAGGAACACCGGUGGCGAAAGCGGCUCACUGGCCCGAUACUGACGCUCAUGUACGAAAGCGCGGGGAGCAAAC